Astatotilapia calliptera (eastern happy) is the source of this 1216-nucleotide long non-coding RNA. Lineage: Eukaryota; Metazoa; Chordata; Actinopteri; Cichliformes; Cichlidae. The record is from Ensembl.
CUCACAUUGAAAAGAUUAGGAUGUUCAUCACAGCUCUAAUGGUUUCACUGGCAUAAAAUCUAUAGGCACCUCUGCACCAUUGUAUUUCAGAACAGAUGCAAUCAGCUUUAAUUUCUGUAGCACAUGAGGGAAAGUAGUAUUGUGCUUGUGCACGUGUCUAAUCACUGAACUGCCUGUGAAUGAUCGUCAUCGGCUCUAAAGCGAGCGCUCUGAAGAAUCAACUUGAGCAACAUGUAUGCAAAGAAUAUGUUGCCUCUUUUUUUUCUUUUUUCUUUUUUUUUGGCCGUCCACUCCAGCAAAAGACCAAAACCAGAAAGUUUGAGCAGUGUGUCAUUUAUUUAGUUUUGCUCUCUGGUGAUAGGCGUCCUGUCGUCGUCCCCCGCAAGUCUUUUUAUCCAGCUUUAUGAAUUAUAUUUUUUUUCUGUAGUAAAACGCCCUGUGCAUCUCUCACUUUUCUGAAAGUACACCUCAAAUUUCACCUUGGCAGCGGUGCUGCCCAGGAGCAAAAGAAAUGGAAAACAUUCAUUUUCUCAGCUUUCCACUGAGAGGGGAGAAGGAAAUGAUGCAGGGUGAGAGAGAGGUGCUUAAGUCAGUGGGUGAGCGCACGUGUGUGUGACUGUAACCGCGUAGGCAGGUGGCUUUGUGUUUGUGUGUCUGCGUACUGGGAGGGAAGACAGAAUGCUGCAAUUUAAUCGAUCUGCACGUUUGAAAGUUAUCUUCUUAAUUCUAAGGACUUCUUGAGCUCAUGUUGAAUACUGAACAGUGAAGAGUGAAGCCAAAGGAGGGUUAGAUUAAAAAAAAAAAAAAAAACGGAGACAAGUGAACAUGACAACUUAAGACGAAGCAGGCGGGAGGUGAGAAAAGCUUGAGGGAAGAUGCUGAAAUGAAGGAGAAGUCAAGUGCGAAGCUGUAGAAGAUUAGUGAGCUGCAGCUACACAACGGUGACGCUGAAGGAGACGCGAGGAGGAGGAGGUUGUUUUGGAACAGGAGCUCCUGGAGAGGUGAAAGAUGGAGGCUGGCAGGGUGGAGGAAAAAACACAUGAAAUGAAGAAAAUAUGGGCGUGAAAAACACAAGCUGCUCGCAGCAGGCGAUGUCUGACAGACUGUUAUGCCAUCCCCACCGCAAACCCCCCACCCUCGCCAACACUUGUAAUACCUGUCGAGGCGUGAGCCUACGUCUACGACCCCUCAGCUCCAGUGGACAUGAGGAAGAGCG